Molecule: long non-coding RNA, 404 nt
Filed under: Equus caballus (horse)
Lineage: Eukaryota; Metazoa; Chordata; Mammalia; Perissodactyla; Equidae
Description: lncRNA (ENSECAG00000035515.3)
Source: RNAcentral
ACUGAAUUGGGUCAUUUCUAUGUUCUUUUUGAUUCCUUCUAGUUUGUUUCAUACACUGGCCUGUGUUGACUUUUCUUUGAGUUCUGUGCUGUUGUCCCUGAAUGGUGGGGUCCUCAGAUGUACUAUCCAUAUUGUAUUCCGGUGCGGGAACAUUUUCCCCAACUGCAAAGGAUUGGGCACCUCUACUAACCAGUUUAUACGUGGGACGCCUACCACAGCAUGGCUGCCAAGCAGUGCCAUGUCCGCACCCAGGAUCCGAACCAGCGAACCCCGGGCCGCCGAGAAGCGGAACGUGCGAACUUUACCGCUGCGCCACCGGGCUGGCCCCGACACAGGAACAAUUUUAAUGGAUGAUGACAUCUUGAAGGUUACUUUAGGAGAAGUAUCGGUUUGGAAUAUUUAAG